AAGACAAUGCUAUGUGUUCAUCAAACCAUUUUAUUUUUGUCCUGAGCACAUUGGAAGAUGCAUUUCCCAGUUUUCUUGCAGCUAGCGGCAACAUCACAAUGGAAGCAGUCUUUGUCUCUGAGUCCCCACUGGGAUUCUCUCAGUGGACAGCAUAGCGACCCAUUAGCUCCAGCGUUGGACUCUGACUGUGUCAAGAGUAGAAGUUUGAAAUGCAAUUCUUAUCCAUCAUAUUUCUCCAAUUUUUAACUCUCCUUUACUG
Long non-coding RNA from Symphalangus syndactylus (siamang), 259 nucleotides. RefSeq lists it as uncharacterized. The record is from RefSeq and is a predicted model, not a curated record. Lineage: Eukaryota; Metazoa; Chordata; Mammalia; Primates; Hylobatidae.